Molecule: long non-coding RNA, 522 nt
Organism: Styela clava
Lineage: Eukaryota; Metazoa; Chordata; Ascidiacea; Stolidobranchia; Styelidae
Source: RefSeq, a predicted model, not a curated record
UUGGAACGGAUCUGUUGUCACUCGGAAGCACGAUUUUUCUAUAAAAACUGGAUCCGACGAAAUGCUUGUCAUUCUCAAGUGAAGUUCACCUUCAAGUUGAAAAAAUAUCAAAAAUGAACGCCAAAGUUGUAUUCGUCUUGUUAGUUGCAGCAAUGCUGGUUGUGGGCAGCGACUGCAGUUACAAGAGACGUGGAUAUUAUGGACGCAGACGUGGAUAUUAUGGACACGUACGUAAAUAUUAUUUCGGAGAUGCGGAAAUUGUUGAAAACAUGCACCAGAUGCUGGAUGAUUUGAUUUCUAGCUUUCCCCAAACGCAAGAAGACAAUUCUGCUAUAGAGCAGGAGGACGUCUCGAAAUAAUUUUGUACCAGACCACACCCUGACAAUGUUGACGGACAUGACUUUCUACUAAAGACCACGACAAUGCCUUUUAUUAUUUACUAAACGUAUAAUCUUCAAAAAGUGUAACUCUAAAAUUUAUGUAGGCCUACGGAAUCAGAUGAAAUAAAUUUGGUCAUAGUUA